AUUGAACGCUGGCGGCAUGCUUUACACAUGCAAGUCGAACGGCAGCGCGGGCUUCGGCCUGGCGGCGAGUGGCGAACGGGUGAGUAAUGCAUCGGAACGUGCCCAGUAGUGGGGGAUAGCCCGGCGAAAGCCGGAUUAAUACCGCAUACGACCUGAGGGUGAAAGCGGGGGACCGAAAGGCCUCGCGCUAUUGGAGCGGCCGAUGUCGGAUUAGCUAGUUGGUGGGGUAAAGGCUUACCAAGGCGACGAUCCGUAGCUGGUCUGAGAGGACGACCAGCCACACUGGGACUGAGACACGGCCCAGACUCCUACGGGAGGCAGCAGUGGGGAAUUUUGGACAAUGGGGGCAACCCUGAUCCAGCCAUGCCGCGUGCGGAAGAAGGCCUUCGGGUUGUAAACCGCCUUUGUUCGGGAAGAAAUCCUCUGGGCUAAUACCCCGGGGGGAUGACGGUACCGGAAGAAUAAGCACCGGCUAACUACGUG
Molecule: ribosomal RNA, 483 nt
Filed under: uncultured bacterium
Lineage: Bacteria
Description: partial 16S ribosomal RNA
Rfam family: Bacterial small subunit ribosomal RNA
Source: RNAcentral